This 254-nucleotide ribosomal RNA is filed under the name uncultured bacterium. RNAcentral's name for it is "partial 16S ribosomal RNA". It matches the Rfam family "Bacterial small subunit ribosomal RNA", at positions 524 to 776 of the family's 1533-position model. The record is from RNAcentral.
UACGUAGGGUGCAAGCGUUAAUCGGAAUUACUGGGCGUAAAGCGUGCGCAGGCGGUUUUGUAAGUCUGUUGUGAAAUCCCCGGGCUCAACCUGGGAAUGGCAAUGGAGACUGCAAGGCUAGAGUUUGGCAGAGGGGGGGUAGAAUUCCACGUGUAGCAGUGAAAUGCGUAGAGAUGUGGAGGAACACCGAUGGUGAAGGCAGCCCCCUGGGCUAACACUGACGCUCAUGCACGAAAGCGUGGGGAGCAAACAGG